This 695-nucleotide long non-coding RNA is filed under the name Numida meleagris (helmeted guineafowl). Its description in RNAcentral is "lncRNA (ENSNMEG00000006784.1)". The record is from RNAcentral. Lineage: Eukaryota; Metazoa; Chordata; Aves; Galliformes; Numididae.
AAUUAGAUUUUCCUUCAUCUUUGUUUUUCUUUUGGAACAUCUUUAGAGCUGACUGGAGAAAGGAAGAGGAUAAAUGGCAUAAAACUGGCCAACAUCGGAGGACGUCUUACAUCAGGUUACUUUCCUAGAUGAUUUGUACUGCCUGGAAAGAGCAAAAAUCUCAUUAAAAGAGAAAAGGAGCUAGGAUGAACUAUUACUCAAAGUUACUGUCUAUGAAAGAACCCAGAAAUCUCCUUUCCCCUGCUAUACUGCAGCACAGGCUCAGGAGAGCUUCUUGCUCAAGACUGUGGGAGCUUCAAGAUGCCUGGAUUCACAUCUCAGCACAAUCCCAGCAGUCCCAACCAUACUCAGACUUCCAGCACCAAACUUGGUUUCCAGACACUGGGCUUUACCUGCAUCCCAGCAGACUUCAUCCCAGCAACUUUUAUUUUUCUGGAAUAUCCCAACAUGGGCUUCAUGCCAAGCACGCUGGUGUUGGAGAGGAGAAGCUGUACUGCAGCUGUUCUCACCACCCAGAGAAGCAGGUAAGAGGCUUUCAGAAAUGCCAUCAUGCAGUGGUAUGAGCAGUGGCUGGUAGCAGCAGGAGAGGGAAGAAUAUAAAAGAGGGUAAGCAUGUAGGAUGGUAAAAUGUACAAAUAUUGAUGGAUUCUUUGAGCAAGAAGUUUGUAUAUUUUUGUAAUAUUCCCCAGUGGACU